GUUAUAUGGUCAAGUGAAGAAGCGCAUACGGUGGAUGCCUUGGCAGUCAGAGGCGAUGAAAGACGUGGUAGCCUGCGAAAAGCUUCGGGGAGUCGGCAAACAGACUGUGAUCCGGAGAUGUCUGAAUGGGGGAACCCAGCCAUCAUAAGAUGGUUAUCUUGUACUGAAUACAUAGGUGCAAGAGGCGAACCAGGGGAACUGAAACAUCUAAGUACCCUGAGGAAAAGAAAUCAACCGAGAUUCCCUUAGUAGUGGCGAGCGAACGGGGACCAGCCCUUAAGUUGUAUUGAGAUUAGCGGAACGUUCUGGAAAGGACGGCCAUAGUGGGUGAUAGCCCUGUACGCGAAAAUCCCUUUGCAAUGAAAUCGAGUAGGACGGGGCACGAGAAACCUUGUCUGAAUAUGGGGGGACCAUCCUCCAAGGCUAAAUACUACUGACUGACCGAUAGUGAACCAGUACCGUGAGGGAAAGGCGAAAAGAACCGCGGAGAGCGGAGUGAAAUAGAUCCUGAAACCGUAUGCGUACAAGCAGUGGGAGCCCACUUUGUUGGGUGACUGCGUACCUUUUGUAUAAUGGGUCAGCGACUUAUUUUCAGUGGCGAGCUUAACCGAAUAGGGGAGGCGUAGCGAAAGCGAGUCUUAAUAGGGCGUCUAGUCGCUGGGAAUAGACCCGAAACCGGGCGAUCUAUCCAUGGGCAGGUUGAAGGUUGGGUAACACUAACUGGAGGACCGAACCGACUACCGUUGAAAAGUUAGCGGAUGACCUGUGGAUCGGAGUGAAAGGCUAAUCAAGCUCGGAGAUAGCUGGUUCUCCUCGAAAGCUAUUUAGGUAGCGCCUCAUGUAUCACUGUAGGGGGUAGAGCACUGUUUCGGCUAGGGGGUCAUCCCGACUUACCAAACCGAURCAAACUCCGAAUACCUACAAGUGCCGAGCAUGGGAGACACACGGCGGGUGCUAACGUCCGUCGUGAAAAGGGAAACAACCCAGACCGUCAGCUAAGGUCCCAAAGUCAUGGUUAAGUGGGAAACGAUGUGGGAAGGCUUAGACAGCUAGGAGGUUGGCUUAGAAGCAGCCACCCUUUAAAGAAAGCGUAAUAGCUCACUAGUCGAGUCGGCCUGCGCGGAAGAUGUAACGGGGCUCAAACCAUGCACCGAAGCUACGGGUAUCAUCUUWUGAUGAUGCGGUAGAGGAGCGUUCUGUAAGCCUGUGAAGGUGAGUUGAGAAGCUUGCUGGAGGUAUCAGAAGUGCGAAUGCUGACAUGAGUAACGACAAUGGGUGUGAAAAACACCCACGCCGAAAGACCAAGGUUUCCUGCGCAACGUUAAUCGACGCAGGGUUAGUCGGUCCCUAAGGCGAGGCUGAAAAGCGUAGUCGAUGGAAAACAGGUUAAUAUUCCUGUACUUCUGGUUAUUGCGAUGGAGGGACGGAGAAGGCUAGGCCAGCCUGGCGUUGGUUGUCCAGGUUUAAGGUGGUAGGCUGAGAUCUUAGGUAAAUCCGGGAUCUYAAGGCCGAGAGCUGAUGACGAGUGUUCUUUAGAACACGAAGUGGUUGAUGCCAUGCUUCCAAGAAAAGCUUCUAAGCUUCAGGUAACCAGGAACCGUACCCCAAACCGACACAGGUGGUUGGGUAGAGAAUACCAAGGCGCUUGAGAGAACUCGGGUGAAGGAACUAGGCAAAAUGGCACCGUAACUUCGGGAGAAGGUGCGCCGGUGAGGGUSAAGCAUUUACUGCGUAAGCCCAYGCCGGUCGAAGAUACCAGGCCGCUGCGACUGUUUAUUAAAAACACAGCACUCUGCAAACACGAAAGUGGACGUAUAGGGUGUGACGCCUGCCCGGUGCCGGAAGGUUAAUUGAUGGGGUUAGCGCAAGCGAAGCUCUUGAUCGAAGCCCCGGUAAACGGCGGCCGUAACUAUAACGGUCCUAAGGUAGCGAAAUUCCUUGUCGGGUAAGUUCCGACCUGCACGAAUGGCGUAACGAUGGCGGCGCUGUCUCCACCCGAGACUCAGUGAAAUUGAAAUCGCUGUGAAGAUGCAGUGUAUCCGCGGCUAGACGGAAAGACCCCGUGAACCUUUACUAUAGCUUUGCACUGGACUUUGAAUUUGCUUGUGUAGGAUAGGUGGGAGGCUUUGAAGCGUGGACGCCAGUCUGCGUGGAGCCAACCUUGAAAUACCACCCUGGCAACUUUGAGGUUCUAACUCAGGUCCGUUAUCCGGAUCGAGGACAGUGUAUGGUGGGUAGUUUGACUGGGGCGGUCUCCUCCUAAAGAGUAACGGAGGAGUACGAAGGUGCGCUCAGACCGGUCGGAAAUCGGUCGUAGAGUAUAAAGGCAAAAGCGCGCUUGACUGCGAGACAGACACGUCGAGCAGGUACGAAAGUAGGUCUUAGUGAUCCGGUGGUUCUGUAUGGAAGGGCCAUCGCUCAACGGAUAAAAGGUACUCCGGGGAUAACAGGCUGAUACCGCCCAAGAGUUCAUAUCGACGGCGGUGUUUGGCACCUCGAUGUCGGCUCAUCACAUCCUGGGGCUGAAGCCGGUCCCAAGGGUAUGGCUGUUCGCCAUUUAAAGUGGUACGCGAGCUGGGUUUAGAACGUCGUGAGACAGUUCGGUCCCUAUCUGCCGUGGACGUUUGAGAUUUGAGAGGGGCUGCUCCUAGUACGAGAGGACCGGAGUGGACGAACCUCUGGUGUUCCGGUUGUCACGCCAGUGGCAUUGCCGGGUAGCUAUGUUCGGAAAAGAUAACCGCUGAAAGCAUCUAAGCGGGAAACUUGCCUCAAGAUGAGAUCUCACUGGAACCUUGAGUUCCCUAAAGGGCCGUCGAAGACUACGACGUUGAUAGGUUGGGUGUGUAAGCGCUGUGAGGCGUUGAGCUAACCAAUACUAAUUGCCCGUGAGGCUUGACCAUAUAACACCCAAGCAAUU
RNAcentral lists this ribosomal RNA (2917 nucleotides) under Pseudomonas amygdali pv. tabaci str. ATCC 11528. RNAcentral's name for it is "bacterial LSU rRNA". It matches the Rfam family "Bacterial large subunit ribosomal RNA". Lineage: Bacteria; Pseudomonadati; Pseudomonadota; Gammaproteobacteria; Pseudomonadales; Pseudomonadaceae. The record is from RNAcentral.